GGGGUUGUGGCUCAGCGUUAGAGUGCUCGCCUAGCAUAUGUGAGGCCCUGGGUUCGAUCCUCAGCACCACA
RNAcentral lists this transfer RNA (71 nucleotides) under Marmota monax (woodchuck). RNAcentral's name for it is "tRNA.Ala". The record is from RNAcentral. Lineage: Eukaryota; Metazoa; Chordata; Mammalia; Rodentia; Sciuridae.